CUUCUCAUGUUUGUACCCUGUG
RNAcentral lists this microRNA (22 nucleotides) under Canis lupus familiaris (dog). Its description in RNAcentral is "Cfa-Novel-21_5p (mature (guide))". Lineage: Eukaryota; Metazoa; Chordata; Mammalia; Carnivora; Canidae. The record is from RNAcentral.